Molecule: ribosomal RNA, 852 nt
Filed under: Paraburkholderia phenazinium
Lineage: Bacteria; Pseudomonadati; Pseudomonadota; Betaproteobacteria; Burkholderiales; Burkholderiaceae
Description: bacterial SSU rRNA
Rfam family: Bacterial small subunit ribosomal RNA
Source: RNAcentral
GCUUACCAUGCAGUCGAACGGCAGCACGGGAGCAAUCCUGGUGGCGAGUGGCGAACGGGUGAGUAAUACAUCGGAACGUGUCCUGUAGUGGGGGAUAGCCCGGCGAAAGCCGGAUUAAUACCGCAUACGCUCUACGGAGGAAAGGGGGGGAUCUUAGGACCUCCCGCUACAGGGGCGGCCGAUGGCAGAUUAGCUAGUUGGUGGGGUAAAGGCCUACCAAGGCGACGAUCUGUAGCUGGUCUGAGAGGACGACCAGCCACACUGGGACUGAGACACGGCCCAGACUCCUACGGGAGGCAGCAGUGGGGAAUUUUGGACAAUGGGGGAAACCCUGAUCCAGCAAUGCCGCGUGUGUGAAGAAGGCCUUCGGGUUGUAAAGCACUUUUGUCCGGAAAGAAAACCUCUGGGUUAAUACCCCGGGGGGAUGACGGUACCGGAAGAAUAAGCACCGGCUAACUACGUGCCAGCAGCCGCGGUAAUACGUAGGGUGCAAGCGUUAAUCGGAAUUACUGGGCGUAAAGCGUGCGCAGGCGGUCCGCUAAGACAGAUGUGAAAUCCCCGGGCUUAACCUGGGAACUGCAUUUGUGACUGGCGGGCUAGAGUAUGGCAGAGGGGGGUAGAAUUCCACGUGUAGCAGUGAAAUGCGUAGAGAUGUGGAGGAAUACCGAUGGCGAAGGCAGCCCCCUGGGCCAAUACUGACGCUCAUGCACGAAAGCGUGGGGAGCAAACAGGAUUAGAUACCCUGGUAGUCCACGCCCUAAACGAUGUCAACUAGUUGUCGGGUCUUCAUUGACUUGGUAACGUAGCUAACGCGUGAAGUUGACCGCCUGGGGAGUACGGUCGCAAGAUUAA